Molecule: ribosomal RNA, 208 nt
Filed under: uncultured bacterium
Lineage: Bacteria
Description: partial 16S ribosomal RNA
Rfam family: Bacterial small subunit ribosomal RNA
Source: RNAcentral
UACGUAGGGUGCAAGCGUUAAUCGGAAUUACUGGGCGUAAAGCGCACGUAGGCGGUUCGUUAAGUCUGUCGUGAAAUCCCCCGGGCUCAACCUGGGAAUGGCGAUGGAUACUGGCGAGCUAGAGUGUGUCAGAGGAUGGUGGAAUUCCCGGUGUAGCGGUGAAAUUCGUAGAUAUUGGGAAGAACACCGGUGGCGAAAGGCGGCUUUC